This 698-nucleotide ribosomal RNA is filed under the name uncultured Methanosaeta sp. RNAcentral describes it as "bacterial SSU rRNA". It matches the Rfam family "Archaeal small subunit ribosomal RNA", at positions 83 to 785 of the family's 1478-position model. Lineage: Archaea; Methanobacteriati; Methanobacteriota; Methanomicrobia; Methanotrichales; Methanotrichaceae. The record is from RNAcentral.
CGGCUCAGUAACACGUGGACAACCUACCCUUAGGACAGGUAUAAACCCGGGAAACUGGGUAUAAUCCCUGAUAGUCCUCGACUGCUGGAAUGCAUCGAGGCCGAAAGCUCCGGCGCCUAAGGAUGGGUCUGCGGCCUAUCAGGUAGUAGUGGGUCUAAAGUACCUACUAGCCUACGACGGGUACGGGUUGUGAGAGCAAGAGCCCGGAGAUGGAUUCUGAGACACGAAUCCAGGCCCUACGGGGUGCAGCAGGCGCGAAAACUUUACAAUGCCGGCAACGGCGAUAAGGGGACCUCGAGUGCCAGGUUACAAAUCUGGCUGUCGUGAUGCCUAAAAAGCAUUGCAUAGCAAGGGCCGGGCAAGAUCGGUGCCAGCCGCCGCGGUAACACCGGCGGCUCGAGUGGUAACCGUUAUUAUUGGGUCUAAAGGGUCUGUAGCCGGCCGGAUAAGUCUCUUGGGAAAUCCAGCAGCUCAACUGUUGGGCUUCCAGGAGAUACUGUCUGGCUCGAGGCCGGGAGAGGUGAGAGGUACUUCAGGGGUAGGGGUGAAAUCUUGUAAUCCUUGAAGGACCACCAGUGGCGAAGGCGUCUCACCAGAACGGACCUGACGGCAAGGGACGAAAGCUAGGGGCACGAACCGGAUUAGAUACCCGGGUAGUCCUAGCCGUAAACGAUGCGAGCUAGGUGUCACGUGGAUUG